RNAcentral lists this ribosomal RNA (2890 nucleotides) under Escherichia coli. RNAcentral describes it as "23S ribosomal RNA". It matches the Rfam family "Bacterial large subunit ribosomal RNA". The record is from RNAcentral. Lineage: Bacteria; Pseudomonadati; Pseudomonadota; Gammaproteobacteria; Enterobacterales; Enterobacteriaceae.
GGUUAAGCGACUAAGCGUACACGGUGGAUGCCCUGGCAGUCAGAGGCGAUGAAGGACGUGCUAAUCUGCGAUAAGCGUCGGUAAGGUGAUAUGAACCGUUAUAACCGGCGAUUUCCGAAUGGGGAAACCCAGUGUGAUUCGUCACACUAUCAUUAACUGAAUCCAUAGGUUAAUGAGGCGAACCGGGGAACUGAAACAUCUAAGUACCCCGAGGAAAAGAAAUCAACCGAGAUUCCCCAGUAGCGGCGAGCGAACGGGGAGCAGCCCAGAGCCUGAAUCAGUGUGUGUGUUAGUGGAAGCGUCUGGAAAGGCGCGCGAUACAGGGUGACAGCCCCGUACACAAAAAUGCACAUGCUGUGAGCUCGAUGAGUAGGGCGGGACACGUGGUAUCCUGUCUGAAUAUGGGGACCAUCCUCCAAGGCUAAAUACUCCUGACUGACCGAUAGUGAACCAGUACCGUGAGGGAAAGGCGAAAAGAACCCCGGCGAGGGGAGUGAAAAAGAACCUGAAACCGUGUACGUACAAGCAGUGGGAGCACGCUUAGGCGUGUGACUGCGUACCUUUUGUAUAAUGGGUCAGCGACUUAUAUUCUGUAGCAAGGUUAACCGAAUAGGGGAGCCGAAGGGAAACCGAGUCUUAACUGGGCGUUAAGUUGCAGGGUAUAGACCCGAAACCCGGUGAUCUAGCCAUGGGCAGGUUGAAGGUUGGGUAACACUAACUGGAGGACCGAACCGACUAAUGUUGAAAAAUUAGCGGAUGACUUGUGGCUGGGGUGAAAGGCCAAUCAAACCGGGAGAUAGCUGGUUCUCCCCGAAAGCUAUUUAGGUAGCGCCUCGUGAAUUCAUCUCCGGGGUAGAGCACUGUUUCGGCAAGGGGUCAUCCCGACUUACCAACCCGAUGCAAACUGCGAAUACCGGAGAAUGUUAUCACGGGAGACACACGGCGGGUGCUAACGUCCGUCGUGAAGAGGGAAACAACCCAGACCGCCAGCUAAGGUCCAAAGUCAUGGUUAAGUGGGAAACGAUGUGGGAAGGCCCAGACAGCCAGGAUGUUGGCUUAGAAGCAGCCAUCAUUUAAAGAAAGCGUAAUAGCUCACUGGUCGAGUCGGCCUGCGCGGAAGAUGUAACGGGGCUAAACCAUGCACCGAAGCUGCGGCAGCGACACUGUGUGUUGUUGGGUAGGGAGCGUUCUGUAAGCCUGCGAAGGUGUGCUGUGAGGCAUGCUGGAGGUAUCAGAAGUGCGAAUGCUGACAUAAGUAACGAUAAAGCGGGUGAAAAGCCCGCUCGCCGGAAGACCAAGGGUUCCUGUCCAACGUUAAUCGGGGCAGGGUGAGUCGACCCCUAAGGCGAGGCCGAAAGGCGUAGUCGAUGGGAAACAGGUUAAUAUUCCUGUACUUGGUGUUACUGCGAAGGGGGACGGAGAAGGCUAUGUUGGCCGGGCGACGGUUGUCCCGGUUUAAGCGUGUAGGCUGGUUUUCCAGGCAAAUCCGGAAAAUCAAGGCUGAGGCGUGAUGACGAGGCACUACGGUGCUGAAGCAACAAAUGCCCUGCUUCCAGGAAAGCCUCUAAGCAUCAGGUAACAUCAAAUCGUACCCCAAACCGACACAGGUGGUCAGGUAGAGAAUACCAAGGCGCUUGAGAGAACUCGGGUGAAGGAACUAGGCAAAAUGGUGCCGUAACUUCGGGAGAAGGCACGCUGAUAUGUAGGUGAAGUCCCUCGCGGAUGGAGCUGAAAUCAGUCGAAGAUACCAGCUGGCUGCAACUGUUUAUUAAAAACACAGCACUGUGCAAACACGAAAGUGGACGUAUACGGUGUGACGCCUGCCCGGUGCCGGAAGGUUAAUUGAUGGGGUCAGCGCAAGCGAAGCUCUUGAUCGAAGCCCCGGUAAACGGCGGCCGUAACUAUAACGGUCCUAAGGUAGCGAAAUUCCUUGUCGGGUAAGUUCCGACCUGCACGAAUGGCGUAAUGAUGGCCAGGCUGUCUCCACCCGAGACUCAGUGAAAUUGAACUCGCUGUGAAGAUGCAGUGUACCCGCGGCAAGACGGAAAGACCCCGUGAACCUUUACUAUAGCUUGACACUGAACAUUGAGCCUUGAUGUGUAGGAUAGGUGGGAGGCUUUGAAGUGUGGACGCCAGUCUGCAUGGAGCCGACCUUGAAAUACCACCCUUUAAUGUUUGAUGUUCUAACGUUGACCCGUGAUCCGGGUUGCGGACAGUGUCUGGUGGGUAGUUUGACUGGGGCGGUCUCCUCCUAAAGAGUAACGGAGGAGCACGAAGGUUGGCUAAUCCUGGUCGGACAUCAGGAGGUUAGUGCAAUGGCAUAAGCCAGCUUGACUGCGAGCGUGACGGCGCGAGCAGGUGCGAAAGCAGGUCAUAGUGAUCCGGUGGUUCUGAAUGGAAGGGCCAUCGCUCAACGGAUAAAAGGUACUCCGGGGAUAACAGGCUGAUACCGCCCAAGAGUUCAUAUCGACGGCGGUGUUUGGCACCUCGAUGUCGGCUCAUCACAUCCUGGGGCUGAAGUAGGUCCCAAGGGUAUGGCUGUUCGCCAUUUAAAGUGGUACGCGAGCUGGGUUUAGAACGUCGUGAGACAGUUCGGUCCCUAUCUGCCGUGGGCGCUGGAGAACUGAGGGGCUGCUCCUAGUACGAGAGGACCGGAGUGGACGCAUCACUGGUGUUCGGGUUGUCAUGCCAAUGGCACUGCCCGGUAGCUAAAUGCGGAAGAGAUAAGUGCUGAAAGCAUCUAAGCACGAAACUUGCCCCGAGAUGAGUUCUCCCUGACUCCUUGAGAGUCCUGAAGGAACGUUGAAGACGACGACGUUGAUAGGCCGGGUGUGUAAGCGCAGCGAUGCGUUGAGCUAACCGGUACUAAUGAACCGUGAGGCUUAACCUU